UCGUGCGAGAGCCACACCCAUUGGUCAACGCCCCGCACAAACCCUACCCUUUCCAGCGCUCCCAAAUGGAUGCAGUCGCCUCCCCUCUCCCUCCCUUCCUCCCCAAACGCGUCGGCCGCCUCCUCUCCACCUGCCAUACCACGUCCCUGCUGCCGCCAUGGCCUCUUCAGGAGGCACGCCCCUCCAUGGUGCGAAGCAGCAGACCAGGAUCUGGAUGAGGAAGAGGAGAUCCGGGCGCCCCAACGGUGGAUCGAUCGAUGCGAGGUAACGACGAGCUCCUCCGGACGUGGGGGAGCAGCGAGGCCGGAGAUCCAGUUGGCGCAUGCGGGUCGAAGCUGCAGCGCUCCGGUCCCCAAGCCGCCUCCAGGCUCGCUUCCUCCAUCCUCCCGCGUCGAUCGCACCCCUCCUCCCGCAUCUCACCCAUCUCGAUGGAUGGCGUGCGGGCACGGAGGCGAGGUUCUCCGGCGGCGGCGGGAACCUCCAGGCAGAGAGCGACCCCAUGGAUCCGUCCCUGUAGGAGAGAAGGAAGGAGAGGAGAUAGGCCAUGAAGAUGGGAUGAGUGCGCGACCCCAGGAUUUUGCGCUGCCGUCUUCUUUCGCCGGUCGGUGCCCUGGAAGAGCGACACCAGCCAGGCAUUGUAUGGGAUGGAUCUAUCAUGCUGGGAUUAGUUGUAGACUUCCUUGCUGAACCCUACAGGGAGCAAUGCAUCCCCAGUUUGCUUCCAGAGAAGGAAGGGGAAGAGUUACAAUUACAACAUGGGGCUUCAAGUGUCUAUUACUGUGGAUCACCAAUAUUUUGUUAUAUCCGUGCAUUUUAGUUACAACUAAGUGCCACACCGAUGAAUGUGAAUGUCUGUUCAGGGUUUUCUUGUUGCUGCUAUUCGUCGUGGAUAUUCAAGAGGCAACUUGGCACCUAAUGUCAGCAACAUGCUUAUCGGUGACGAGGGAAAUGAAAGAAGGCUGCAAUGGAAUUUGUACUAGAUCAGAUUUUGGCCAUAUAGUUACCGGUGACUGGAAGUCUAAAACUGAGGAUAGGGUAGAUUGUUUUGAUUCCGAUUACUUGGAGAUCUUGUGGCUUGUUGUCCCUGGAUCAGUCAGACCUACGGCAGCAUCAACUCGUUGAUCCUAGAGGCCAUGGUUCUCGAGGUGAGUUGAGUUGCUGCUUGGUUGGAGAUGUUGACGUCGUUCGAGACGCCCGCUGGAUUCACCCUUUUCAAGGUUCUGAAUAAGGGCAAGCUCGACAAGGUCGAGUGGUACAGGUAUGAUCUUCAUGGAGCUAGGCAUCACUGGAUUUGGUAAUACAUAAUCACUUAUUCAGAGAGCCCAAGGUGAGAAGGGACGAGCAUCUAGAACACCACCACCUACUAAUCAGUGAGCUACUAUCUGUCUUUGAAUGAGUUACUUAACAAGAGAAGGCAGGUAGCAAUAGAACACGUGCAAUCUCAAUGUUUACUAAUUAUCUAUUUCUGAAUUUAUUCGUUCCCAGCUGCUCUGGAUCUGGGUGUUUUGUUUGCUGCUUUGUAGGAGUUUCCUACCUUUCUUCUGCAAAUCUGGAAUGCCUUUAUGGCAUGAUCAUGUGAAAAAGUACCUUGAUGCAGUAAUGGAUUUGAUUUUCACUGGUUACUCUGUUUUCACGAAUUACUAUCCAACUGUAAGUCUGUUCUAUACCCUAAGGCCCAUGUAAAUCAGAUAGAAGAUUAAGCUAUUUAAUUUUAACUAAAAAGGAUAAUAUUCUUUCAGUCGCUUGAAUCUGUCCAGACCUGAAAAAUACUUAUACUUUGAAAGCUUGAUAUACGAGUAUGUAAUUUUAUAGGUAUGUAAAUAGCCGACAAUGUUAUUGUUCAAAUGUACUCGAGCCAGGUUGGUGCUUCAUUGCAACCAAAAGAAUUAGUAAUAUUGUUUUGCUGAAAAUAUGGUCGCACUUGUCGGUGUUGUAUAAUAGGAUUUUUAAUUAGUGGCAUAGGAAUUUUUUCCCUAAGAUCCACUAUGAAGUUGAUUGAAAGUCCAUUUUCCCUAAGAUCCACUAUGACAAUGAAAAAGAUUUCUGAAAACUGUGUCACCAUAAAUGUUCCAUCAUUGUCCAUAGCAGUCCCAUGUGGAAAAAAAUCCUAUACGACUGAGUCGUACGGACCCGAUCGUGAGACCCACUCCAGCACUCGCCAAUUGUCCGUCCGAAUCUUAAUGCAACAGGCGUCUCCUUCCCCGCUUCCCUGUUUCACUCCUUAUCUCCUCCAACGCACCCAAAAUCCAGCCGCUGGUCAUGCCAUUCUCGCCACCACCUGACAGCACGACGCACCCGCACCACUUUCCCCUGGGAGCCUUGCCGCCAAUGGUGCCGGGUGCGGUGGUCGCCCCCGCCUCGUUCCCCCUUCCCUGUUUGCAAAUCUAGAUUGAAACUCGAACCAUUUAUUCUGCUAGAUAUGCUUGUACUGAAAUUAUUAUCUUAUACAUUGACAGAGCAUGGAAGAACCAAAAGGUAGUUGAUCAGCAGGAUGGCAAGAGGAAGACAAGAACCAAAUUAAAGUUUGUUGCUGUGCAUGUCUGUAUCUAUCAAGAUUCAGUGCUAUGUAGAAAUGUCCUUGAGAUUUGUUUCACUCAACGAGACCAAACAAUCAGGAACACAAGUAGGAUAGUUGAUGCUUUUUUCAUUUUUCUUCUGAUGAAAAGGAAUCUUCAUCUGCCAAGAAUACGGCCUAUAAGCAUGUAUGCCUAAUUACCUAUAUGUUGAUUUAACAAGCUCACAUACAUGUCCAUUUCUGAAAAUAGUUUACCCAUCCUCAAACAUAUAACUUGUGUGUUGUUGCUUUCCAUUAUAUUGAGAAAAACAUAAGUUUCA
Long non-coding RNA from Triticum dicoccoides, 2835 nucleotides. RefSeq lists it as uncharacterized. The record is from RefSeq and is a predicted model, not a curated record. Lineage: Eukaryota; Viridiplantae; Streptophyta; Magnoliopsida; Poales; Poaceae. The transcript has 7 exons.